Molecule: non-coding RNA, 72 nt
Organism: Schistocephalus solidus
Lineage: Eukaryota; Metazoa; Platyhelminthes; Cestoda; Diphyllobothriidea; Diphyllobothriidae
Source: Rfam
GGGCCCGUGGCUCAAUGGUAGAGCAUUCGAUUCAAUAACCAAACGUCGCGGGUUCGAAUCCUAUGUGGUCUA